This 695-nucleotide ribosomal RNA is filed under the name Fuligo muscorum. RNAcentral describes it as "SSU rRNA". It matches the Rfam family "Eukaryotic small subunit ribosomal RNA", at positions 28 to 518 of the family's 1831-position model. The record is from RNAcentral. Lineage: Eukaryota; Evosea; Eumycetozoa; Physariida; Physaraceae.
AUGCUUAUCCUAAAGACUAAGCCAUGCAUGUGCCGGAAUUAGAGGAAGCGAUUCUCUCCGAAUCUGCGAACGGCUCCGCAAACCAGUUGUAACCCAUAGCAAGCCUGCUCGUGGAACCCGGGAUGGUGUCCUCACGGACCCGCCCGGGGAAAGCGGGCGAUAAGGCUAUACCCCUGGUAAUCCUGUGGCUAAUACUCGACCAUACGACCCGCAGCCCGCGACCCUCGUCAUCCGACCGCUUGUGGCGGGGGACGGGGAAAUCGCGGUGCGGGGAGUGUGCGGACAUUAACCAAUAGCGAUGGGGGACACCUCACAAACCCUACCAGGAAAGAACGCACGUUCAAACCGCGGUACAAAAGGGAUGCGCGGUGGACACCAUCUCUCUCUGUGCUACGACUUCCUCCAUUCCUUGCCCUCGGGCGGAGGGUGGCCGGUCGCAUCGGGGGAGAGAUCGGGAGAAACCGCAUCCUCGCGGGCCUUGAAACGGGCUUCUGACCUAUCAACUGUACAGCAGUGCAAGGGACGUGCUGUGGUGACAACGGGUACAGAGGAUUAGGGUUCGAUCCUGGAGAGUGGGCCUGAGAGAUCGCUCACACUUCUAAGGAAGGCAGCAGGCGCGUAACGUUCCCAUUGGGCGAAGCCCGAGGGCGUUAGGGGAAAUAUGAAUGCCUGCCUAUGGUGGGCAAUCAAAUGGU